AUUGAACGCUGGCGGCAUGCCUUACACAUGCAAGUCGAACGGCAGCACGGGUGCUUGCACCUGGUGGCGAGUGGCGAACGGGUGAGUAGUACAUCGGAACAUGUCCUGUAGUGGGGGAUAGCCCGGCGAAAGCCGGAUUAAUACCGCAUACGAUCUACGGAUGAAAGCGGGGGACCUUCGGGCCUCGCGCUAUAGGGUUGGCCGAUGGCUGAUUAGCUAGUUGGUGGGGUAAAGGCCUACCAAGGCGACGAUCAGUAGCUGGUCUGAGAGGACGACCAGCCACACUGGGACUGAGACACGGCCCAGACUCCUACGGGAGGCAGCAGUGGGGAAUUUUGGACAAUGGGCGAAAGCCUGAUCCAGCAAUGCCGCGUGUGUGAAGAAGGCCUUCGGGUUGUAAAGCACUUUUCUCCGGAAAGAAAUCCUUGGCCCUAAUACGGUCGGGGGAUGACGGUACCGGAAGAAUAAGCACCGGCUAACUACGUG
RNAcentral lists this ribosomal RNA (486 nucleotides) under uncultured bacterium. RNAcentral's name for it is "partial 16S ribosomal RNA". It matches the Rfam family "Bacterial small subunit ribosomal RNA", at positions 30 to 507 of the family's 1533-position model. The record is from RNAcentral.